Molecule: ribosomal RNA, 253 nt
Filed under: uncultured bacterium
Lineage: Bacteria
Description: partial 16S ribosomal RNA
Rfam family: Bacterial small subunit ribosomal RNA
Source: RNAcentral
UACGUAGGGGGCAAGCGUUGUCCGGAAUCAUUGGGCGUAAAGAGCGUGUAGGCGGCCCGGUAAGUCCGCUGUGAAAGUCGGGGGCUCAACCCUCGAAUGCCGGUGGAUACUGUCGGGCUAGAGUGCGGAAGAGGCGAGUGGAAUUCCUGGUGUAGCGGUGAAAUGCGCAGAUAUCAGGAGGAACACCAAUUGCGAAGGCAGCUCGCUGGGACGUAACUGACGCUGAGACGCGAAAGCAUGGGGAGCGAACAGG